This is a long non-coding RNA of Hydra vulgaris (swiftwater hydra), 822 nucleotides long. RefSeq lists it as uncharacterized. The record is from RefSeq and is a predicted model, not a curated record. NCBI's taxonomy places the organism in Eukaryota, Metazoa, Cnidaria, Hydrozoa, Anthoathecata, Hydridae.
AAAUCUGCUGAACCUCUCAAAUCUAUUUGGAAACUGUUUUUUGUUAGAGUGCUGCAUUCUUACACACAUGUGAAAUUGCUAAUUCCAAGUUGGAUAUUGCAGAGGACUGCUCAGAACUUCCAACAGAAUCAGAUAUUGACGCAAAAAAAAGGAAAGCGAAAAGGUCAUUACCAGUUUUAUGGAAUGAAUUGUGUGAUUCAGAUUCCGAUUAUAUAAAAUCUUAAAAUGGAAAGAAGUUUUCGGUAUCAAUUUCAACCUCAAACCUGGAGUUUCCUACUCCUCCUCAGUUGCAAUCCGACAACCAAACUACACUACCAUCAUCAAUAUUAACGCCAGUGCUUACUAUAGCACUGCAAGUAGAGCAGUUAUCACCUGAUUUGGUCAAUUGUCAUGUUGGAGGAAAUGAUCAUCGAAAACUAAUAUUAUUAGAAGAGAUUAAACAAAAUAAUCAAACUAUAAUUUUUCUUCUGCAAUGAUUAUCAGCACAACAGCAGCGUGGUAAUAUAGAAACAAGUUUUGAUGAGUUUGGGCUUCCUGUUUUAUCAAUGGAACAUUUACAAAAACUAGAAACAGAUUGCCUUGACAAUGACCUCCGAGGAAAGCUUAUGCUGUUCGGCGUAAUCCUACAAUAUGUCGCGGUACGGAUGCAAGGUUGCUUGUGCCAUUAAAGCAUGGCUUCGAUUCGCGAAAUUUGUGUGGAGGGAGGAGAAGAAACAUCAUUUUAACGAUUUUAGUUAUAUAGUUUUAUAUAUAGUUUAUGAUUUUUUUGUAUGUGUGUAAUAGUUUAAAUUAUUUUGUAACGAAUAAACAUUUAACUAGAAA